AUGAGUUUUGCAUUAUGCAGCUGUAAGAUGUGAAUUUCCCAUGGAUUGUCCUCUUCAUGAUAGCUUACUAAGGGUGCAUUACAAGGGAAUGCUUCUUAAUGAAGAGAAGACAGUGUUUUAUGAUACAAGAGUGGAUAAUGAUGGCGAGCCUUUGGUAUUCAGUUCCGGAGAAGGGCUUGUGCCCGAGGGAUUUGAAAUGUGUGUUCGCUUAGUGCUUCCUGAAGAGAUCUCGCUUGUUACUUGCCCUCCAGAUUAUGCAUAUGAUAAGUUUACAAGGUCAAUUUUCUAAACCAAUUGGCUAUCUUGGUUUCUGAACAAAACACUUGAAAA
Phoenix dactylifera (date palm) is the source of this 330-nucleotide non-coding RNA. The record is from RefSeq and is a predicted model, not a curated record. Lineage: Eukaryota; Viridiplantae; Streptophyta; Magnoliopsida; Arecales; Arecaceae.